UUUGCGCUAGGGGUAGCAGCGGCAUCCUUUUGUGUAGUUUUUACGGAACAAAAGAUAUAGCGAAUAACCCGACCCGAA
This 78-nucleotide small RNA is filed under the name Mesonia maritima. Its description in RNAcentral is "Flavo-1 RNA". It matches the Rfam family "Flavo-1 RNA". Lineage: Bacteria; Pseudomonadati; Bacteroidota; Flavobacteriia; Flavobacteriales; Flavobacteriaceae. The record is from RNAcentral.